RNAcentral lists this ribosomal RNA (871 nucleotides) under Bacillus tequilensis. RNAcentral describes it as "bacterial SSU rRNA". It matches the Rfam family "Bacterial small subunit ribosomal RNA", at positions 59 to 908 of the family's 1533-position model. The record is from RNAcentral. Lineage: Bacteria; Bacillati; Bacillota; Bacilli; Caryophanales; Bacillaceae.
CAGUCGAGCGGACGAGGAGGAGGAGCUUGCUCCCUGAUGUUAGCGGCGGACGGGUGAGUAACACGUGGGUAACCUGCCUGUAAGACUGGGAUAACUCCGGGAAACCGGGGCUAAUACCGGAUGGUUGUUUGAACCGCAUGGUUCAAACAUAAAAGGUGGCUUCGGCUACCACUUACAGAUGGACCCGCGGCGCAUUAGCUAGUUGGUGAGGUAAUGGCUCACCAAGGCAACGAUGCGUAGCCGACCUGAGAGGGUGAUCGGCCACACUGGGACUGAGACACGGCCCAGACUCCUACGGGAGGCAGCAGUAGGGAAUCUUCCGCAAUGGACGAAAGUCUGACGGAGCAACGCCGCGUGAGUGAUGAAGGUUUUCGGAUCGUAAAGCUCUGUUGUUAGGGAAGAACAAGUACCGUUCGAAUAGGGCGGUACCUUGACGGUACCUAACCAGAAAGCCACGGCUAACUACGUGCCAGCAGCCGCGGUAAUACGUAGGUGGCAAGCGUUGUCCGGAAUUAUUGGGCGUAAAGGGCUCGCAGGCGGUUUCUUAAGUCUGAUGUGAAAGCCCCCGGCUCAACCGGGGAGGGUCAUUGGAAACUGGGGAACUUGAGUGCAGAAGAGGAGAGUGGAAUUCCACGUGUAGCGGUGAAAUGCGUAGAGAUGUGGAGGAACACCAGUGGCGAAGGCGACUCUCUGGUCUGUAACUGACGCUGAGGAGCGAAAGCGUGGGGAGCGAACAGGAUUAGAUACCCUGGUAGUCCACGCCGUAAACGAUGAGUGCUAAGUGUUAGGGGGUUUCCGCCCCUUAGUGCUGCAGCUAACGCAUUAAGCACUCCGCCUGGGGAGUACGGUCGCAAGACUGAAACUCAAAUGU